UCUUGUGAGCAACUGUGAAACAGGGUGUAACGUUUCUCUAUGGUGAAACCUUUUCGAGGUGUUUCUGCGUUGUAUUUUCGAUUUAAGUGGUCUUCGCUGCCGUGGUUAGUUUGUUUGGCUGCCCAGACUUGUUGCAGCCCAAGUAACAGUGGAGGUCAGCGUUAUUUUCUUACCAGAUUUGCUAGUGAGUGGUUCAGCCAUGGCUAUGUAUGGAAGAGAGCAGGCACUAUUUUGCAAGUCGCCUAUUACUUAAUUGCAGGCAUUAUGGGCAUGCUGCCUUUACGACUGGCUAUUCUGAAGACUGGAGAGCAGUAAGCACAGCAUGUGCUAUGACAGGAAAUGUCAGAUGGUGGAGGCCCACGACACCUCGGCACCAUCAAGAAUGCCAGCAAAGGAAAGGGCCCUUCGCGGAACACGUGGCAGUUUGCAUAUUUCCGCAGAAUAAGCAGCAUGGAGAUCCCCUGCCGUGGGAGUGGAGCAUUAAAACGAGCGGCGCACGUGCUCAUUGUGUGUGCCACGCUUGCUUUCUUGGUGCACUGGUGGAUGUGCGCGCUUAACAAAGCUAGGAGCCUUGGGCUGUCACAGGGAUGCUGUCAACCGAACAGUGACUCCUACGCCUUUGUUAAUGUUUGCGGGGAGAGAACCGGGUGGGGAGCUUGGUGCUUUACAGGGAACUCUCGGCGUAGACCGGAAGCCCACAAUGGCCUCGCGUUAAAAAAAAAAAAAAGAAAAGAACACGGUGAUGAAGUGCGGCCUUACACGUGUUAUAGGUACUUUUGCUAUGUAUUGAGAAUAUUUAUCAAUUACUUAUUUACUUAAUUUGAAAGCGUGAAUUAUUGAAUUGUAUUUAACCUUUAUUUUCUGAUAUUGGGGAUAGAAUGCUAAUGAUACUCUACAAGAGACAGAAUGUGAUGUAUUUCUCCAGAAAAAACCUAAUAGUCAUUACAGGAGCUUUCUGUUCUUGUGGUACUUUAAAAUCCACUUUGUCAAAAUAAGAAUAAAAACUAAAUUUUAUUUCAACUUUAUAUUUUGCUGACCUUAUCAGAAGUGAGACGACCCCUCUUUUCUGUACAAAUUUGGCCAGCUUUAAAAAAUAUUCUUUCACAGGGUACACUUGUCGUGGGUAUACAAAGCCAUUUUAAAGCCAGUGCAUACAAGUUCGGGUAGGUGAAUUUUCUACUUUCCCACCACUUCAGCGGUUCAUUCUUACGGUUCAAGUACAGCUCGUUGAGGUAUUAUCUAUCUCAACGACGGCCUGAGCUGUAGGGUCUUGGUUUCCUUGCAAGGAACUCAAACUCGCGUCAAACUCAUCCCAUACUGAGGAGGUCUGAACAGGCGUUGCGGGCUCAUUGCUUGGUCCGGGUUGUGUACUUUGGAUAGUCGCUUUUACCCUCAAAACAAGCGCUUUCUUAUUCGACUUAAACUUUGCAUCAUCCCCAAAGCCUUGCGACAUAAACCGUGGGUCCAAAAUUAGGGAUUGAGAAAUUAACUCGUUUGAUUCUCCGUUUCCAAAUUGCCGUGUCAGACCAUCUACGAGUUCGUUUGCAAGCUUUGCAAUA
Molecule: long non-coding RNA, 1559 nt
Organism: Dermacentor andersoni
Lineage: Eukaryota; Metazoa; Arthropoda; Arachnida; Ixodida; Ixodidae
Source: RefSeq, a predicted model, not a curated record